This 330-nucleotide ribosomal RNA is filed under the name uncultured eukaryote. RNAcentral describes it as "partial 18S ribosomal RNA". It matches the Rfam family "Eukaryotic small subunit ribosomal RNA", at positions 1470 to 1796 of the family's 1831-position model. The record is from RNAcentral.
CCCUUAGAUGUUCUGGGCCGCACGCGCGCUACACUGAUGCAUUCAACGAGUCUAAAACCUGGUCUGAUAGGGCUGGGUAAUCUUUUGAAAGUGCAUCGUGAUUGGGAUAGAUGAUCGCAAUUCUUCAUCUUCAACGAGGAAUGCCUAGUAAACGCAAGUCAUCAGCUUGCAUUGAUUACGUCCCUGCCCUUUGUACACACCGCCCGUCGCUCCUACCGAUUGAAUGAUCCGAUGAAUACCAUGGAUUGAGAGUACGAAUGGGUUCGCUCAUUUCUGCUGCUCGAGAAGUGGAGUAAAUCUUAUCAUUUAGAGGAAGGAGAAGUCGUAACA